AGUGAACGCUGGCGGUAGGCCUAACACAUGCAAGUCGAACGGCAGCACAGUAAGAGCUUGCUCUUACGGGUGGCGAGUGGCGGACGGGUGAGGAAUACAUCGGAAUCUACUUUUUCGUGGGGGAUAACGUAGGGAAACUUACGCUAAUACCGCAUACGACCUACGGGUGAAAGCAGGGGAUCUUCGGACCUUGCGCGAUUGAAUGAGCCGAUGUCGGAUUAGCUAGUUGGCGGGGUAAAGGCCCACCAAGGCGACGAUCCGUAGCUGGUCUGAGAGGAUGAUCAGCCCAACUGGAACUGAGACACGGUCCAGACUCCUACGGGAGGCAGCAGUGGGGAAUAUUGGACAAUGGGCGCAAGCCUGAUCCAGCCAUACCGCGUGGGUGAAGAAGGCCUUCGGGUUGUAAAGCCCUUUUGUUGGGAAAGAAAAGCAGCAGGUUAAUACCCCGCUGUUCUGACGGUACCCAAAGAAUAAGCACCGGCUAACUUCGUG
This 492-nucleotide ribosomal RNA is filed under the name uncultured bacterium. RNAcentral's name for it is "partial 16S ribosomal RNA". It matches the Rfam family "Bacterial small subunit ribosomal RNA", at positions 29 to 507 of the family's 1533-position model. The record is from RNAcentral.